Ribosomal RNA from Lepisosteus oculatus (spotted gar), 119 nucleotides. The record is from Rfam. NCBI's taxonomy places the organism in Eukaryota, Metazoa, Chordata, Actinopteri, Semionotiformes, Lepisosteidae.
GCCAGCAGCCAUAUCACCCUGCCACUCACAACUGGCAACCCACUGAAGCUAAGCAGGUAUGAGCCUGGUCACUACCUGGAUGGGAGACCUCCUGGGAAAAACUAAGGCUGCUGCUGGUA